This 478-nucleotide ribosomal RNA is filed under the name Cervus nippon mantchuricus (Manchurian sika deer). RNAcentral's name for it is "partial 16S ribosomal RNA". It matches the Rfam family "Bacterial large subunit ribosomal RNA", at positions 1854 to 2553 of the family's 2925-position model. Lineage: Eukaryota; Metazoa; Chordata; Mammalia; Artiodactyla; Cervidae. The record is from RNAcentral.
CUGCCUGCCCAGUGACANCCGUUAAACGGCCGCGGUNUCCUGACCGUGCAAAGGUAGCAUAAUCACUUGUUCUCUAAAUAGGGACUUGUAUGAAUGGCCACACGAGGGUUUUACUGUCUCUUACUUCCAAUCANUGANAUUGACCUUCCCGUGAAGAGGCGGGAAUAUAUUAAUAAGACGAGAAGACCCUAUGGAGCUUUAANUANUUANCCCAAAAGAAACAAAUUUCAUUANUNAGGAANCAACAACACUCUUUAUGGGNUAACAGCUUUGGUUGGGGNGACCUCGGAGAACAAGAAAUCCUCCGAGNGAUUUUAAAGACUAGACNUNCAAGUCGAAUCACNCAAUCGUUUAUUGAUCCAAAAAAAAAUUGAUCAACGGAACAAGUUACCCUAGGGAUAACAGCNCAAUCCUAUUCAANAGUCCAUAUCGACAAUAGGGUUUACGACCUCGAUGUUGGAUCAGGACAUCCCGAUGG